UGUCGAGCGGAGCGCUCCGGCGAGGAAGGAGGGCUGGGAUCAUGUAUUUAUAGCGGCACGUGUAACAAAACCUGCCCGUGCGGGCGGGCGAGGGCUGCUCGCUGCAAUUCGCAGCACGGGGAAGUCAAUCCCGAGCUGAUUCGUUUCAGCCCCUCUGUCAGAGCCCGCUGCCUCCGCGCCCCGCUCUGCGGAGCUCCCACCUCCUCCCCCCUCAUCCCUCCGCGGCUGUGCAGGGACUACGCGUGGGUCGGGCAGGUGGGGAGAGGCGACCAGCUCCUCUCACAAAAUAAUUAAUUAAUUAAUUAAUUAAAAAUAGUAAAAAUAAUUCUAGUCGGAGGGAGGACAGCUCGCAGUGAGCUUCGGACCUCCGGCAAAGAGGGGCUGCCCGGGGGGGGGCGGCACCGCACUCAGUUCGGGGGGAUCGAAGCCGCCGCAGGCAGCGUUCAGUCGGUCCGUUCCUUUUUACUCCCUUAGAUCUGGGAUCUCGCCUAUAGUCCGUUGAGACACUGACAACAGAAGCUGCGAAGAGAUGGAGAUGCGAGAUAAACCCGUCGGGCAAUCUCAUUACAUGGCAACGAGCGAAGAGCCCUCCUUGCAAUCGACUCGAGAUAACGAGGCUGCCUGGAGGAACGAGCGAAGCUCAGAUAUUUACUUCUUUUCCUAUUAAAUAAACCUCAUGACUGCAUUGAC
Numida meleagris (helmeted guineafowl) is the source of this 690-nucleotide long non-coding RNA. RefSeq lists it as uncharacterized. The transcript is spliced from 2 exons. The record is from RefSeq and is a predicted model, not a curated record. NCBI's taxonomy places the organism in Eukaryota, Metazoa, Chordata, Aves, Galliformes, Numididae.